CUAUUCUGCUCACUGAUGAAUCUCCAGUGUCUAGAACAGCACUUUUUACAGAAUAAGUGAUUAAUAAAUUUUUGUUGAAUUAAUAAACGUUUGUUUAAAAGUCAUCAGCGCGAUGAAUACUUCAGCUGGUCUCCUAAGAAAGCCCAAGGCCCCAGGAGUAAACAGUGGUUCUCUGGCUCCUGCGAUUUGCGUAGAAGUUCAAGUUGGGUAAUUCAGGCCCCAAAGGCUAUUUUUAGAGCAAAAACUCCAGAAGGAUGAUCCACAGAGAACCAGAGAAUUUAGUUCACUUCACUAAUGUAGCACUGGCAGAGCUAAAGGAGAAAUACCCCAAACUUUAAUUGCUCUUUCCCUUUGCUAACUGCUGCAAAACAAGUGCAUCCUGACAUCGCUGGGUACACCAUUUCAAUCAAGUGUAAGUAUUUCAUUGUCAUUUCUCUUGAUCUAAGCCCUUCUUAAGAAUAAUCAUAGCUACCAGGUAUUAAAAGCUUACUACGUGUGUAUACACGUUCUCAUAAAAGUUUCAAAAUGACCCUUAAACAGAUAUUAUCAUCCUCAUUUUGCAACCUUAAUUGACCUUCCUAAAGUCCCCUAGCUGGACUUGGAGCUGGAAUUCACCCAAACCAGGCUCUUAACCCCUAGGCUACCUGCAUAUCUCACCAGGAGAUGUGUGUAAACUGUAGGGGAGAACAGUGUGCCAAGCAUAAGAUGGUUGACAUUUUUUUUAAAAUUUUUGAAAUAAUUUAAAUUUGUAAACAACUACUUAUGCCGCCUGGGAUGGCAAAAAGACCAAAUGUUUGGGGAGCCAAAUGGUCCUGAGUUCAAAUCCUGCUUCACCACCAUCAGAGGGUCCUUAGCAAAAACCACGAAACCUUUCUGAGUCUGGGUUUCCUUAAGUGUAGACAUGAAGAUCAUGAUACCACAUCUUCUCAGGGAUGUUACUGGAGAGUGCCUGCUAUGAAGCCUGGCACAGAGUAAAUGCUCUUCAAGCCUAAAUUCCCUUCCUUCUAACGGAUUUGCUAAAUUGGCACUGUGCUGAUUUUUUUAAGUGUUUAGUUCAUCCUUGUAAUACCAUAAUUACAGAAGAUAAUGACACUGCAUUCUGUAUAACUACAAAGUAGAACUUAUAAACUGAUAAAAUACGAGCUGGAUGAGGCUUUAGAGGCCAUCUGUUCCAAUCCUUUCCAUUUCCAAAUGAAGACCAGGGAGUUUAAAACGACCUGUUUCCAAGUUUUUGUGGAAAGUUAAUUGCAAAGACACAGCUAGACCUUACAUCCCUCCGCCCCCACUCGCACUACACCCCCAGUUUUUGCCUCACAUUACACAGGCAUGGCAAUGCAUGUAAUUUUCAGACAAUUAAGCAGUAUAAAAUAACCUCAGUUUAAUUGCAUCCAAUUAACAAGCCAAAUUAGUGUUUCAUAUGUACACUAUUAAACUAGCUGUCUGGCUUCCAAAAGAAAUAAAACAGUGUUUCAAAUGAAUCUAGCAUUUUAGUGAACAAAGCUACUUACAAUUUGAAUUACCUUUCCUAUAAUCUUCUUUAUAUGGAAUUAGACCUAAUCUCCAUUUUAAAAGAAAUACUUCCUGCAACUAUCAGAAUUCAUGCUGUAUCUUAAGUAUCAAAAUUUUCUUUCUCACUAAACAUGUAUGAUUUUCUAAGAUUAGUAUAUAUGUGUGUUCGUGCACACAUGCAUGCCCAUACACAUAUGCAUGCCUACAGAUCCCCAAGUAAAUACAAAUGGGGGUGUGUCUUCAUCUACCUACCACCUAGUUUCAGAAGUCCCAUCUUCUGGUUGAGCUUCUGAAAUUAAGUGAAUCUGCCACAAUGCAAAUAAGAGCUUUAGUGAUCUCCUGCUUUCUUUUUCAGAGAAAAUGAAAGCACCGAAUAAAUCUUGGUCCAAAAAAACCCUUGCCUUUCAUAUACACUGCACUACACUAUCUGUCCAGUAUUGCCAAUGAGGUGGGUACAAUUAAAUGGAUAUCAAUUGAAAAGCAGUAUUCUAAUGAACCAUCUAUUCAUUCCUUAAAUAUUUAUACCUAAAAACAUAAAUAUCUUGUGAUCCUAGGUAUAACCACUUUUAUAAAUUGGUGUUUUAUGGUCAACUUUCACUAUGAGUACCUAUGAGUAUUUUCUGGAGUAAAAAGUUUUAUAGUAGGUUAAAAUAACAAUGCAGUACCGUACUUAAAAUGUAGUUCAGUGUGACAAUCUGCCAUACCUAUUUGGCCACGUGGUCCAAAUAUUUUAAUCACUCUUGUUAUUCGUUAUUUUAUAAAGUACUUUUAAGAUGUCCAUUAACAGGAUGAAAGAAUUCACAGCGUUAGGCAGUAGUGUCAAUCUUCUUUACUUCUCUUCUGGGCAUUACAGCACUUUUGACUGCCUCCUUGCCACCAAGAUACCCAUCCCAUACACCCUUACAAUCUUUCUAAAACACAUACAUAUAUAGCUGCUCAAAAACCUUAAGUGAAGUCCAGCUUUCUCAGGAGGCCUACACAGCGUCACAGGAUUUAGGACCAAUGUACCUUUCUAGGCUCACCUGUAUUUCCCUCUGGUUACCUGAACAAUGCCCAGGUCUCCAAAUAAUGACUGAGUUAUGCUGAGCAAUUUAAUUCUUUUCCCUUUCUGCAUAUUGAAAUACCACUCGGACUUUAAAGUUACUCCUUCUGACCCCUAGUGUGACUCCACAGCCCUGGCUUAGAAUUACUACAUAUACUGACCUUUUCUGCCACCUAAAUAGAAUUUUCUAUAUUAUAUAAAUUUAGAAAUUUUGAAAGAGGGAGCAAAUAAUUAAUUGAUACAGUUGACAAAAUAGAAUGUGAGUCCAAGAUUCCAUACAGGAAUGCUAUAUUUCAAGAACCUCUUCUUCUACUCUUUGCCUUCAUACUCCCUUUUAAGUAUUUCAGUGACCCCUCAUCAUAUGAAAAGGAAAAAAUCAGAUCCACACUUCUCCAUAGUUUCUGAUGUUUGCAAACAUGUAAAUAAAUUAUCUGGGGAAUGAAUGUUUUCGCAGCUGUUUAGAAACACAUAGAUCCAAUGCAUGCAGGGCUCUAAAGAUUCAUCGGUUACUUCACACAGUGACCUUGUAAAGACUUUUGAAUUUGCAGUUAUUCAUUAACUGAAUCAAUGAUGCUGGCCAAUUUAGUUAACUGGAGUCCCAAAUAAGUAUUUUUUGAAACAUAUUACUCAUUCUUAAAAAAAGAAUCUGUAAAUAAUUACACAAUUAAACCCCUCAAACUGAAGUCAAUACACAAAAUCAUAAAUCUCCAGGGAGUCAGAGACCAUUUAUAUGGAAGCACUGCGCAAAGACACAUGUUAUAAAUAAGCCUCCUCCAGCUUCCAGGCCCUGGCCCCCAAAUUCCCUCUCCAUUAAUCAGUCUCUAACAUGGCCAAUAGUGGGGUCAUUAUAUGCCCUGAUUUGCCAAGGAGUCUCCAUUUAUGCCAAAUUAGAUAAUCAUUCAUGUGGCCAACCUGCCACAUGGUUGGGCCUCACCUUGCAUUACCUCUCUUGUUACCUGCCCUCCAGCCCCACUGGCUUACUUUCAACUCUUCAAAACACUGCAUAUCCCCCAACCUCAGCACAUUUUGCAUUGUUCUUUGUUGUACAAUAUUCUCCCCUUCUUCUCCUCAACGCUUACUCAUCCUACAGUCUCGGCUCAAACAUCACCUCCUAAGAGAGAUCUCUUCCUCACUCCCAGACAGGAGU
Molecule: long non-coding RNA, 3698 nt
Filed under: Sus scrofa (pig)
Lineage: Eukaryota; Metazoa; Chordata; Mammalia; Artiodactyla; Suidae
Description: lncRNA (ENSSSCG00055026562.1)
Source: RNAcentral